CCCUUAGAUGUUCUGGGCCGCACGCGCGCUACACUGACGAAAGCAACGAGCUUAUAACCUUGGCCGAAAGGUCUGGGUAAUCUCCAAACUUCGUCGUGAUGGGGAUAGAUUAUUGCAAUUAUUAAUCUUCAACGAGGAAUGCCUAGUAAGCGCAAGUCAUCAGCUUGCGUUGAUUACGUCCCUGCCCUUUGUACACACCGCCCGUCGCUACUACCGAUUGAAUGAUUUAGUGAGGACUUCGGACUGGGACCGAUGCGGCUUUCGGGCUGCGUCGGUAUUCUGGAAAGAUGUCCAAACUGUAUCAUUUAGAGGAAGUAAAAGUCGUAACA
Molecule: ribosomal RNA, 329 nt
Filed under: uncultured eukaryote
Lineage: Eukaryota
Description: partial 18S ribosomal RNA
Rfam family: Eukaryotic small subunit ribosomal RNA
Source: RNAcentral